UACGGAGGGGGCAAGCGUUGUUCGGAAUUACUGGGCGUAAAGGGCUCGUAGGCGGCCAACUAAGUCGGACGUGAAAUCCCCAGGCUCAACCUGGGAACUGCGUCCGAUACUGGAUGGCUUGAAUCCGGGAGAGGGAUGCAGAAUUCCAGGUGUAGCGGUGAAAUGCGUAGAUAUCUGGAGGAAUACCGGUGGCGAAGGCGGCAUCCUGGACCGGCAUUGACGCUGAGGAGCGAAAGCGAGGGGAGCAAACGGG
This 253-nucleotide ribosomal RNA is filed under the name uncultured bacterium. RNAcentral's name for it is "partial 16S ribosomal RNA". It matches the Rfam family "Bacterial small subunit ribosomal RNA", at positions 524 to 776 of the family's 1533-position model. The record is from RNAcentral.